RNAcentral lists this ribosomal RNA (513 nucleotides) under bacterium. RNAcentral describes it as "bacterial SSU rRNA". It matches the Rfam family "Bacterial small subunit ribosomal RNA", at positions 95 to 617 of the family's 1533-position model. The record is from RNAcentral. RNAcentral also lists the same sequence under 1 other name.
GUGGCGGACGGGUGAGUAAUGUCUGGGAAGCUGCCUGAUGGAGGGGGAUAACUACUGGAAACGGUAGCUAAUACCGCAUAAUGUCGCAAGACCAAAGAGGGGGACCUUCGGGCCUCUUGCCAUCGGAUGUGCCCAGAUGGGAUUAGCUUGUUGGUGGGGUAACGGCUCACCAAGGCGACGAUCCCUAGCUGGUCUGAGAGGAUGACCAGCCACACUGGAACUGAGACACGGUCCAGACUCCUACGGGAGGCAGCAGUGGGGAAUAUUGCACAAUGGGCGCAAGCCUGAUGCAGCCAUGCCGCGUGUAUGAAGAAGGCCUUCGGGUUGUAAAGUACUUUCAGCGGGGAGGAAGGGAGUAAGUAAUACCUUUGCUCAUUGACGUACCCGCAGAAGAAGCACCGGUAACUCGUGCCAGCAGCCGGUAAUACGAGGGUGCAAGCGUAUCGAUUACUGGCGUAAAGCGAGAGGCGGUUGUAAUCAAUUGAAUCCGGCUACUGAACUUGAUUAUUGAGC